CACCGCGGUUAAACGAGAGGCCCUAGUUGAUGAUUGACGGCGUAAAGGGUGGUUAGGGGAUGUAAUAUAAUAAAGCCGAAUGGCCCUUUGGCUGUCAUACGCUUCUGGGUGUCCGAAGCCCAACAUACGAAAGUAGCUUUAAAAGAGUCCACCUGACGCCACGAAAGCUGAGAAACAAACUGGGAUUAGAUACCCCACUAUGCUCAGUCAUAAACCUAGACGUCCUACUACAGCUAGACGUCCGCCCGGGUACUACGAGCGCUUGGCUUGAAACCCAAAGGACCUGACGGUGCCUCAGACCCCCCUAGAGGAGCCUGUUCUAGAACCGAUAACCCCCGUUAAACCUCACCACUUCUAGCCACCCCAGCCUAUAUACCGCCGUCGUCAGCUUACCCUGUGAAGGUAAUAAAAGUAAGCACAAUGGGCACAACCCAGAACGUCAGGUCGAGGUGUAGCGCACGGAGCGGGAAGAAAUGGGCUACAUUUUCUAUUAUAGAAUAUUACGAAUAUGCAACAUGAAAUAGUGCUUGAAGGAGGAUUUAGUAGUAAAAAGGAAGCAGAGUGUCCUUUUGAACCCGGCUCUGAGGCGCGUACACACCGCCCGUCACCCUCUCCUGUCGAAUGCAAUAAGAAUACCUAAUAUAAAAGCGCUGACAAGGGGAGGCAAGUCGUAACAUGGUAAGUGUACCGGAAGGUGCACUUGGAUUAAAUUCAGGGCGUGGCUGAG
Molecule: ribosomal RNA, 727 nt
Filed under: Phoxinus phoxinus (Eurasian minnow)
Lineage: Eukaryota; Metazoa; Chordata; Actinopteri; Cypriniformes; Leuciscidae
Description: partial small subunit ribosomal RNA
Rfam family: Bacterial small subunit ribosomal RNA
Source: RNAcentral